UAAGGAAUAUUGCUCAAUGGGAGAAAUCCUGAAGCAGCAGCGCCGCGUGGAGGAUGAAGGGUCUAUGACUUGUAAACUCCUGUAAAAAAGGAAAAAAUUCCCAUUAGAUGGGAGAUGAUGGUACUUCUGGAGUAAGCCCCGGCUAACUACGUGCCAGCAGCCGCGGUAAUACGUAGGGGGCAAGCGUUGUCCGGAUUUACUGGGUGUAAAGGGUGCUCAGGCGGAUUUGUAAGUCAGAGGUGAAAUCUUACAGCUUAACUGUGAAACUGCCUUUGAUACUGCAAGCCUAGAGUAUGGAAGAGAGUGAUGGAAUAUCUGGUGUAGCAGUGAAAUGCGUCGAUAUCAGAUAGAACACCAAUGGCGAAGGCAGUCACUUGGUCCAGUACUGACGCUAAAGCACGAAAGCGUGGGUAGCAAACA
This 420-nucleotide ribosomal RNA is filed under the name uncultured bacterium. Its description in RNAcentral is "bacterial SSU rRNA". It matches the Rfam family "Bacterial small subunit ribosomal RNA", at positions 355 to 774 of the family's 1533-position model. The record is from RNAcentral.